GUAUUAGUUAUGUUCUUGAAACUCAAAGAAUUUGGCGGUAUUUUAUUCUUUUUAGAGGAACCUGUCCUUUAAUCGACAUUCCACGAUGAUUAUUUACUCUCUCUUGUAUUCAGUUUGUAUACCUCCGUCAUAAGAGUAUCUUUUUAGAGGGAAUAUUCUCUUAAUAUAAAAUAUAAUAUGUCAGGUCAAGGUGCAAUUUAUGAGUUAGUAGAGAUGGGUUACAAUAAACUUAUUUAUAUGGAUUAUAGUACUUAUUUUACUAUAUGAAGGUGGAUUUAAAAGUAAAAUUGGUAUUUCUUGUUAAUUUGAUUUUAGCUCUAGAAUAUGCACACAU
Molecule: ribosomal RNA, 334 nt
Filed under: Macromia eurynome
Lineage: Eukaryota; Metazoa; Arthropoda; Insecta; Odonata; Macromiidae
Description: partial 12S ribosomal RNA
Source: RNAcentral